RNAcentral lists this ribosomal RNA (549 nucleotides) under uncultured bacterium. Its description in RNAcentral is "bacterial SSU rRNA". It matches the Rfam family "Bacterial small subunit ribosomal RNA", at positions 8 to 568 of the family's 1533-position model. The record is from RNAcentral.
AGAGUUUGAUCCUGGCUCAGGGUUAACGCUGGCGGCGCGCAUAACACAUGCAAGUCGAGCGAGGGCUCUUCUCCCGCAAGGGAGGGGAGUUCCUAGCGGCGAACGGGUGAGUACCACGUGGGCAACCUUUCCUAUCGCGGGGGAUAACAGCGGGAAACCGCUGCUAAUACCGCAUGUCGUCAUCGGUCGCAUGGCCGGUGAAAAAAGCAGCAAUGCACGAUGGGGUGGGCCCGCGGCCUAUCAGCUAGUCGGUGGGGUAACGGCCUACCGAGGCGAUGACGGGUAGCUGGUCUGAGAGGACGACCAGCCACACGGGGACUGAGACACGGCCCCGACUCCUACGGGAGGCAGCAGUGAGGAAUCUUCCGCAAUGGGCGAAAGCCUGACGGAGCGACGCCGCGUGUGGGAUGAAGUCCUUCGGGAUGUAAACCACUGUUGGAGGGGAAGACUUCGACGGUACCCUCCGAGAAAGCCCCGGCUAACUACGUGCCAGCAGCCGCGGUAAUACGUAGGGGCUAGCGUUAUCCAGAAUUACUGGGCGUAAAGCGC